UACCUGGUUGAUCCUGCCAGUAGUCAUAUGCUUGUCUCAAAGAUUAAGCCAUGCAUGUCUAAGUACAGGCCGAAUUAAGGCGAAACCGCGAAUGGCUCAUUAAAUCAGUUAUGGUUCAUUGGAUCUUACCUUGUCCUACUUGGAUAACUGUGGUAAUUCUAGAGCUAAUACAUGCAAGCAAGCCCCGACCGGCGACGGGAAGGGCGCUUUUAUUAGAUCAAAACCAAUCGGGCUCUUCGGGGCCCGUACCCCAGUGGUGACUCUGAAUAACUUUGUGCUGAGCGCACGGUCCUGGUACCGGCGCCGAAUCCUUCAAGUGUCUGCCUUAUCAGCUUUCGAUUGUAGGUUAUGCGCCUACAAUGGCUAUAACGGGUAACGGGGAAUCAGGGUUCGAUUCCGGAGAGGGAGCCUGAGAAACGGCUACCACAUCUAAGGAAGGCAGCAGGCACGCAAAUUACCCACUCCCGGCUCGGGGAGGUAGUGACGAAAAAUAACGAUGCGGGACUCAUCCGAGGCCUCGCAAUCGGAAUGAGUACACUUUAAAUCCUUUAACGAGGAUCUAUUGGAGGGCAAGUCUGGUGCCAGCAGCCGCGGUAAUUCCAGCUCCAAUAGCGUAUAUUAAAGUUGCUGCGGUUAAAAAGCUCGUAGUUGGAUUCGAGUCACGGAGCGAGGGUUCACCGCCCGGUGCUUACUCUCCGCCAUCCGGACGUUGAUGUCGGCGUGGCACGGGGUGCUCUUCACCGAGUGUCCCGGCGCCGCCGACGAGUUUACUUUGAAAAAAUUAGAGUGCUCAGAGCAGGCCGUUCCUGACGCGCCUGAAUAGUUGUGCAUGGAAUAAUGGAAUAGGACCUCGGUUCUAUUUUCCGUUGGUUUUCGGAACCCGAGGUAAUGACUAAUAGGAACAGUCGGGGGCAUUCGUAUUGCGACGUUAGAGGUGAAAUUCUUGGAUCGUCGCAAGACGAACUACUGCGAAAGCAUUUGCCAAGA
This 987-nucleotide ribosomal RNA is filed under the name Vejdovskybathynella edelweiss. RNAcentral describes it as "SSU rRNA". It matches the Rfam family "Eukaryotic small subunit ribosomal RNA", at positions 1 to 963 of the family's 1831-position model. Lineage: Eukaryota; Metazoa; Arthropoda; Malacostraca; Bathynellacea; Bathynellidae. The record is from RNAcentral.